Molecule: long non-coding RNA, 428 nt
Organism: Herpailurus yagouaroundi (jaguarundi)
Lineage: Eukaryota; Metazoa; Chordata; Mammalia; Carnivora; Felidae
Exons: 2
Source: RefSeq, a predicted model, not a curated record
AAGUUUUCAAAGUCAACAGCAAAUUAACUGACCUAGAAACCAAAGCUGAGUUCAGACAGACAACCAGAUUUGCUUUGUCCUUGGAUUAUCAGUUCAAAACCUGGCUUAUUCUAAUUCAGUUUACAGUAAUAGCAAGUUGUAGACCAACUUUAAUCAUACAGAGACGCCAGUUACUGUGUUGUAAGGACGCUCGAGCAGCUCUAUGGAGAGGCCUAGGUGGUGAGGAACGGAGGCCUCCUACAGCGGUGUCAUGGAUGAGCCGUCUUGGAAAAUGCUCCUUUGGCUCUGGCCAAGCCUUCUGAUUAACGGAAGACCAGGCUGUCCCCUCGACUGCAACCUCAUGAGAGACUCUAAGGUAGAACCACCCACCUGAGCCUCUCCUGGAUUUAUGACCUGUAGAAAAAAUAAAUAUAUAUAAUGUAUUUUAA